RNAcentral lists this ribosomal RNA (493 nucleotides) under uncultured Alphaproteobacteria bacterium. RNAcentral's name for it is "bacterial SSU rRNA". It matches the Rfam family "Bacterial small subunit ribosomal RNA", at positions 9 to 524 of the family's 1533-position model. The record is from RNAcentral. Lineage: Bacteria; Pseudomonadati; Pseudomonadota; Alphaproteobacteria.
GAGUUUGAUCGUGGCUCAGAACGAACGCUGGCGGCAUGCCUAACACAUGCAAGUCGAACGAGACCUUCGGGUCUAGUGGCGCACGGGUGCGUAACGCGUGGGAAUCUGCCCUUGGGUUCGGAACAACAGUUGGAAACGACUGCUAAUACCGGAUGAUGACUUCGGUCCAAAGAUUUAUCGCCCAAGGAUGAGCCCGCGUCGGAUUAGCUUGUUGGUGAGGUAAAAGCUCACCAAGGCGACGAUCCGUAGCUGGUCUGAGAGGAUGAUCAGCCACACUGGGACUGAGACACGGCCCAGACUCCUACGGGAGGCAGCAGUGGGGAAUAUUGGACAAUGGGCGAAAGCCUGAUCCAGCGACGCCGCGUGUGUGAAGAAGGCCUGCGGGUUGUAAAGCACUUUCGAUGGAACGAAAUGUGCCGGGCUAAUACCCCGGCAAGCUGACGUUACUCAAUGAAGAAGCACCGGCUAACUCUGUGCCAGCAGCCGCCGUAAC